UCUGGUAGACAAGCGGUGUUUCCGCAAAGUCCGCAGUCGUCUUCUGGCUUUUCCUUUUUCAGGUCGGGGAAGCUUGUGUUGGAGCCGAUCCUGAGCUCUGGUGAAACUUUUGUCUUCUUUGUACGAGUAUAAUGAAUUUAGUUGUCUUUUUCUGCUAUCUUUACGGUGGUGUGGGAAGUUAGGAGGAUUUGAUAAGGUUUUUUUUUAUCUUGGUUUAAGAGGAGACUGUUUUUAAGUUUUUAUAUACACCCAGUUUUUAGGCUGGACGUGAUGUGCUGGAACAUCAGCAGAAACUGGUGUGAAAAUGUAAUCCAGUGGUAAAGGUGGUGGAUGGUCCCAAAGGCCCAGGUGUUGUCAGUGGGGUCACCAGUGAUUUGCCUAUCCCAACCAUGGCUCAGCUGCUACAAUUGUUUUGUCUGUUUUGUUUUGUCUUAUUGUUCAUCUUAGUUUGGCUGUCCAGACUUUAGAUACCAAUAUUAGUGUUGUUAAAGUUGUUAAUGACGGACCUCCUGAAAACAGAACUUGUUGAUGGAUCCUACACCAGGACACUGACACUUCCAUCCCAUUUGGAUCCCAUAUAUUUUAAUUUCAUGGACAUUAGGGCUGGAAGGGACCUUGGAAGAUCAUCAAGUCCAGCCCCCUGCCCCAGGGGCAGGAAGUCAGCUAGGGUCACAGGAUCCCUGCAAGAUAAACGGCUAAUUGACUCCUAAGUGAAUCCAGAGCAGGUGCUUGCACCACCUCUGGCAGCAGUUUUUUCCAGGUCUUGGGGGCUCGGCCUAUAAAGAAGUUCUUCCUUAUGUCCAAGAAUUAACCAAGAAAUUUUGUAUUUGAUGAUGUUUUCUGUCAAUCAAUGUUUUUGUAAUGUCUCAUCAGUUAGUGGUUCUGAUUUUAUGUAUUUUGUACCCCAGUGGACUGUUGAGUCUAUCCAAGCUAAACCAUGGCUAUAUCAGGAUAUUACACCAGUGCAGAUGUGAUUGGAUUUGCCACUUUUGCAGCAAGUUUUGUCUCACCCUGAUCACUGUACUCCAAUUUAUUAAGAUAUGCAAUCAAGAAACCAUAGUUCAGAUCAAACAUAACAAAAAAAGAAGUCCUGACAGUAUUAGAAAAGGUCUGGAACGCUGGACAGCAUUCUUGGAGGGAAACUUUAAUUGGAUAGAGUCCAACUGAUUCGUAAUUUUUUUAAUCUAAUGUUACCAUCCUAUUGUUAUUUUGCUUUUUGUGCAAAUAAUAUUAUGUGUUGGAAAAUGAAAUGGCUAUAUUUUAAACAAGAACUCUAUCAAACUCAGCAGCUGCAAGUAUUAUGUUAUGGCAAGCUCCUUCAAUAAGCAGGAUGUCAGGCAAGCCUGGGGUGAAAUGAUCACUUGCUGCGUGAAGAGCUCAGCUGAUGGUUGCAACCCGGGCAGGCCUUCAGCAGCGGGGGCAGAGUUUCAUUACCAGACUUCGAUGCAGUGAUGGAAUAGCUGAACCUAGCCCUCAAGGAGGGACUGCUAGGGUAGCUUGUCAUAUUUUAUGCUUUAAAAUUGUACUUGUUUAUAGAGUGGUGAAUUAUAGUAUUGUUUAAAGUUUUCUUUUAUAUUCAGCCUAAUGUUCUGUAUAGCCUUACUGUUAUCUGAAUUUUUCAUUUCGCUGGUGUUUGCAAUAUCAGCUGGCCUUCCCUCUUGCAAGCGGCUUAUGGCCUUGAGUUUGCUUGCAUGAUGUUUCCUUCCUUUUCUAUCACUGUAAAAAGUUUUUCUAACAUAGUAAUAGUUUUGUUGCUAGGUCAAAUUAACUGAACUUGGCAUUAGCCAGCUGAAUCAGAGGGAUGAAAUGAUUGGAUAUGUUAAUGAAAGGUAAUAAAGGAGGCCAAUGGACAAUGCUCAGUGUAGGACACUGGAAAAAGGCCAAAUUAAGAGGUGUGCUUGUGAUGAGUCUGUUGAAAAAAGAAAUAUGAUGACAGGAUAAAAUAUGGACAAUAUGCUGACUGCAGAGAGACCAAUCCAAAAGCAAGGAGUUAUCAAAGGAGUCAAGUUAAAGAAAAACAUAGAAGGCAAGAGCAGGAAAGUUAAGUGCAUGCCUUCAUCAUCAUCAUUGUCAUCAUGACAACACAUCAUUCAACACCUGUCUGGACCAUCCCAACCAACAAAGCACCCUUUGCUUCAAAAACUCAGUGGCCGUCUUUUCUGUGAAGCAAAGUAACAUCUGGGAUUGGAUGAGAUCAUUGUAUUGAGUGCUUUUCUCUCUCUGAAUAUAGAAACUGCUAAGAUAACACUUGUUGUACUAAUAAAGUUAGACUUUGAUUUUAGGA
Alligator mississippiensis (American alligator) is the source of this 2284-nucleotide long non-coding RNA. RefSeq lists it as uncharacterized. NCBI's taxonomy places the organism in Eukaryota, Metazoa, Chordata, Crocodylia, Alligatoridae. The transcript has 2 exons. The record is from RefSeq and is a predicted model, not a curated record.